This is a long non-coding RNA of Drosophila innubila, 652 nucleotides long. RefSeq lists it as uncharacterized. The record is from RefSeq and is a predicted model, not a curated record. Lineage: Eukaryota; Metazoa; Arthropoda; Insecta; Diptera; Drosophilidae. The transcript is spliced from 2 exons.
AACGCCCAGUAGCAGCAUAGCAGCCAAAACAGACGCAGCCGAAACUAGCGAAAAUUUCUAUAAUUUCUGCAGUCGCUGUCGAUGCUUACGCCGAGUUACCGUUAACUUUUUAGAGUCGCUAGCGCAGGCGAUUUGCACGCGUUUCAUUUGCGCGCGCGUUUUUUUCCAGCUUAGCUCGCGAUCUUUUGCCUAUCGCUUAACAGAGUAUAUCGUAGUUUAUCGAGUUCAAGAAGAUUUUAGUGAUCGACAAACUGAACUAUCGAGUGACAAAAUAACUAAAUAUUUAGUGGACUGAUUAACCGAACAUUUUUCUGCAGAAUAACGAAAGUGUUACUGCAAAUAAAAAACUGUGAAUUCAAAUUACUUAUUAUCAUUGCUGGCUAAUAAAAGCUUCCCUGGACGCUUUAUGUUGCUCAGGUAAGUUCUGAUUAGCAGCAACUGAUGAGUCUAGAUAUGAAUCUGAAUCUCAUUCAGAAUCAGUCUCCAGCAAUGCAAAAAUUGAAAAAGAGCGAAUAAUAGUAAAAGAAAAAGGGAAUGCAAUGCGCUUUUAUGAUAAAUGAUUUGCGAUUUGUGUGCAUUCGUUUGAGUUUUAUAGACGUUUCAUUACCAGCCAACAAUUUCCCCAGUGGCUGUUUGUGAAUCGUAAAAAAAG